RNAcentral lists this ribosomal RNA (541 nucleotides) under Fusarium oxysporum. RNAcentral's name for it is "eukaryotic LSU rRNA". The stretch from base 190 to 343 matches the Rfam family "5.8S ribosomal RNA". Lineage: Eukaryota; Fungi; Ascomycota; Sordariomycetes; Hypocreales; Nectriaceae. The record is from RNAcentral.
GUAACAAGGUCUCCGUUGGUGAACCAGCGGAGGGAUCAUUACCGAGUUUACAACUCCCAAACCCCUGUGAACAUACCACUUGUUGCCUCGGCGGAUCAGCCCGCUCCCGGUAAAACGGGACGGCCCGCCAGAGGACCCCUAAACUCUGUUUCUAUAUGUAACUUCUGAGUAAAACCAUAAAUAAAUCAAAACUUUCAACAACGGAUCUCUUGGUUCUGGCAUCGAUGAAGAACGCAGCAAAAUGCGAUAAGUAAUGUGAAUUGCAGAAUUCAGUGAAUCAUCGAAUCUUUGAACGCACAUUGCGCCCGCCAGUAUUCUGGCGGGCAUGCCUGUUCGAGCGUCAUUUCAACCCUCAAGCACAGCUUGGUGUUGGGACUCGCGUUAAUUCGCGUUCCUCAAAUUGAUUGGCGGUCACGUCGAGCUUCCAUAGCGUAGUAGUAAAACCCUCGUUACUGGUAAUCGUCGCGGCCACGCCGUUAAACCCCAACUUCUGAAUGUUGACCUCGGAUCAGGUAGGAAUACCCGCUGAACUUAAGCAUAU